RNAcentral lists this ribosomal RNA (464 nucleotides) under uncultured bacterium. RNAcentral's name for it is "partial 16S ribosomal RNA". It matches the Rfam family "Bacterial small subunit ribosomal RNA", at positions 29 to 507 of the family's 1533-position model. The record is from RNAcentral.
ACGCACGCUGGCGGCGUGCUUCACACAUGCAAGUCGAACGGAAAGGCCCCUUUGGGGGUCCUCGAGUGGCGAACGGGUGAGUAACACGUGAGUAACCUGCCCUUGACUUCGGGAUAACUUCAGGAAACUGGGGCUAAUACCGGAUAGGAAUCCUUGCUGCAUGGUGGGGGUUGGAAAGCUUCGGCGGUUUUGGAUGGACUCGCGGCUUAUCAGCUUGUUGGUGGGGUAGUGGCUUACCAAGGCUUUGACGGGUAGCCGGCCUGAGAGGGCGACCGGCCACAUUGGGACUGAGAUACGGCCCAGACUCCUACGGGAGGCAGCAGUGGGGAAUAUUGCACAAUGGGCGGAAGCCUGAUGCAGCAACGCCGCGUGCGGGAUGACGGCCUUCGGGUUGUAAACCGCUUUCAGCAGGGGCGAAGCUUGUGGUGACGGUACCUGCAGAAGAAGCACCGGCUAACUACGUG